Molecule: transfer RNA, 74 nt
Filed under: Pseudoclavibacter caeni
Lineage: Bacteria; Bacillati; Actinomycetota; Actinomycetes; Micrococcales; Microbacteriaceae
Description: Pseudoclavibacter sp. MJ28 tRNA
Rfam family: tRNA
About the family: Transfer RNA (tRNA) molecules are approximately 80 nucleotides in length.
Source: Rfam by way of RNAcentral
GGGCCCAUAGCUCAGGUGGUCAGAGCACCUCGUUUACACCGAGGGGGUCGGGGGUUCGAGCCCCUCUGGGCCCA